AACGAAAAUAUAUAGAUACAUA
RNAcentral lists this small nuclear RNA (22 nucleotides) under Arabidopsis thaliana (thale cress). RNAcentral describes it as "snRNA_08027". Lineage: Eukaryota; Viridiplantae; Streptophyta; Magnoliopsida; Brassicales; Brassicaceae. The record is from RNAcentral.